GGGCGAGCGUUGUCCGGAAUUAUUGGGCGUAAAGGGCUCGUAGGUGGUUCGUUAAGUUAGAUGUGAAAUUGUACGGCUUAACCGUGCACUGGCAUCUGAUACUGGCGGGCUUGAGGCAGGUAGAGGAGAAUGGAAUUCCUGGUGUAGCGGUGGAAUGCGCAGAUAUCAGGAGGAACACCGAUUGCGAAGGAAGUUCUCUGGGCCUGUGCUGACGCUGAGGAGCGAAAGCGUGGGGAGCGAACA
This 243-nucleotide ribosomal RNA is filed under the name uncultured bacterium. Its description in RNAcentral is "partial 16S ribosomal RNA". It matches the Rfam family "Bacterial small subunit ribosomal RNA", at positions 532 to 774 of the family's 1533-position model. The record is from RNAcentral.